GAUGAACGCUGGCGGCGUACCUAAUACAUGCCAGUCGAGCGAACAGACGAGGAGCUUGCUCCUCUGACGUUAGCGGCGGACGGGUGAGUAACACGUGGAUAACCUACCUAUAAGACUGGGAUAACUUCGGGAAACCGGAGCUAAUACCGGAUAAUAUAUUGAACCGCAUGGUUCAAUAGUGAAAGACGGUUUUGCUGUCACUUAUAGAUGGAUCCGCGCCGCAUUAGCUAGUUGGUAAGGUAACGGCUUACCAAGGCAACGAUGCGUAGCCGACCUGAGAGAGUGAUCGGCCACACUGGAACUGAGACACGGUCCAGACUCCUACGGGAGGCAGCAGUAGGGAAUCUUCCGCAAUGGGCGAAAGCUUGACGGAGCAACGCCGCGUGAGUGAUGAAGGUCUUCGGAUCGUAAAACUCUGUUAUUAGGGAAGAACAAAUGUGUAAGUAACUAUGCACGUCUUGACGGUACCUAAUCAGAAAGCCACGGCUAACUACGUG
RNAcentral lists this ribosomal RNA (497 nucleotides) under uncultured bacterium. Its description in RNAcentral is "partial 16S ribosomal RNA". It matches the Rfam family "Bacterial small subunit ribosomal RNA", at positions 28 to 507 of the family's 1533-position model. The record is from RNAcentral.